AUUGAACGCUGGCGGCAGGCCUAACACAUGCAAGUCGGACGGUAGCACAGAGGAGCUUGCUCCUCGGGUGACGAGUGGCGGACGGGUGAGUAAUGUCUGGGGAUCUGCCCGAUAGAGGGGGAUAACCACUGGAAACGGUGGCUAAUACCGCAUAACGUCGCAAGACCAAAGAGGGGGACCUUCGGGCCUCUCACUAUCGGAUGAACCCAGAUGGGAUUAGCUAGUAGGCGGGGUAACGGCCCACCUAGGCGACGAUCCCUAGCUGGUCUGAGAGGAUGACCAGCCACACUGGAACUGAGACACGGUCCAGACUCCUACGGGAGGCAGCAGUGGGGAAUAUUGCACAAUGGGCGCAAGCCUGAUGCAGCCAUGCCGCGUGUAUGAAGAAGGCCUUCGGGUUGUAAAGUACUUUCAGCGGGGAGGAAGGCGAUGUGGUUAAUAACCGCGUCGAUUGACGUUACCCGCAGAAGAAGCACCGGCUAACUCCGUGCCAGCAGCCGCCGUAA
This 506-nucleotide ribosomal RNA is filed under the name uncultured bacterium. RNAcentral describes it as "partial 16S ribosomal RNA". It matches the Rfam family "Bacterial small subunit ribosomal RNA", at positions 29 to 523 of the family's 1533-position model. The record is from RNAcentral.